UUGGCACAGAGCUGUCUGCUGCCAUCUGUAAGGAGAUGCCAUGCUCUUCCCAAGCACCAUGUGUCUGUAGGUGGAUACAAACAUUUCAAGAACAGAUGGAUGAUGUCUCAGAACACAAAUCCUGCAAGCAACUUGACUCUUCUGAAGUCAGGACAGGGUCAAUUAUCUACAUUCUGUGGCUGCAGUAUAUUAAGGGUGUUUUUCUUCCCCCCACUGGGGUUACAUCCUCGGCACUGACAGCAGCUCAGAGUCUGAGUUGUUCCCGUGCUGCUGCUGAGAGGUUGGUGUGACUGUUGCCAGCUUUACUAUGGAGGAAUAUCUGGAUGCAGAAAGCUCUAAUGCAGCAAAGAGCAGGACAGGAUCCUUUCAUAGCUUGGCAAUGGUACAAGUAAAAAAAGAUCCUGGCUAAAAGAAGCCUGACUUUUC
This is a long non-coding RNA of Pipra filicauda (Wire-tailed manakin), 426 nucleotides long. RefSeq lists it as uncharacterized. The record is from RefSeq and is a predicted model, not a curated record. Lineage: Eukaryota; Metazoa; Chordata; Aves; Passeriformes; Pipridae. The transcript is spliced from 3 exons.